CCUACGGGAGGCAGCAGUGGGGAAUAUUGCACAAUGGGGGAAACCCUGAUGCAGCGACGCCGCGUGAGUGAAGAAGUAUUUCGGUAUGUAAAGCUCUAUCAGCAGGGAAGAAAAUUACGGUACCUGACUAAGAAGCCCCGGCUAACUACGUGCCAGCAGCCGCGGUAAUACGUAGGGGGCAAGCGUUAUCCGGAUUUACUGGGUGUAAAGGGAGCGUAGACGGUGAUGCAAGUCAGAAGUGAAAGCCCGGGGAUCAACUCCGGGACUGCUUUUGAAACUGUGUGACUGGAGUGCAGGAGAGGUAAGCGGAAUUCCUAGUGUAGCGGUGAAAUGCGUAGAUAUCAGGAGGAACACCAGUGGCGAAGGCGGCUUACUGGACUGUAACUGACGUUGAGGCUCGAAAGCGUGGGGAGCAAACAGGAUUAGAUACCCCUGUAGUC
Molecule: ribosomal RNA, 440 nt
Filed under: uncultured bacterium
Lineage: Bacteria
Description: partial 16S ribosomal RNA
Rfam family: Bacterial small subunit ribosomal RNA
Source: RNAcentral